RNAcentral lists this ribosomal RNA (400 nucleotides) under uncultured bacterium. RNAcentral's name for it is "bacterial SSU rRNA". It matches the Rfam family "Bacterial small subunit ribosomal RNA", at positions 356 to 773 of the family's 1533-position model. The record is from RNAcentral.
GGGGAAUUUUGGACAAUGGGCGAAAGCCUGAUCCAGCGACGCCGCGUGAGUGAUGAAGGCCUUCGGGUUGUAAAGCUCUUUCGAUGGGGAAGAUAAUGACGGUACCCAUAUAAGAAGCUCCGGCUAACUUCGUGCCAGCAGCCGCGGUAAUACGAAGGGAGCUAGCGUUACUCGGAAUCACUGGGCGUAAAGCGUGCGUAGGCGGCUUUGUAAGUCAGAAGUGAAAGCCUGGAGCUCAACUCCAGAAUUGCUUUUGAAACUGCAAAGCUAGAGUAUGAUAGGGGAUAGUGGAAUUCCUAGUGUAGAGGUGAAAUUCGUAGAUAUUAGGAGGAACACCGGUGGCGAAGGCGACUAUCUGGAUCAUAACUGACGCUGUUGCACGAAAGCGUGGGGAGCAAAC